RNAcentral lists this ribosomal RNA (639 nucleotides) under uncultured Streptomyces sp. RNAcentral's name for it is "bacterial SSU rRNA". It matches the Rfam family "Bacterial small subunit ribosomal RNA", at positions 223 to 872 of the family's 1533-position model. Lineage: Bacteria; Bacillati; Actinomycetota; Actinomycetes; Kitasatosporales; Streptomycetaceae. The record is from RNAcentral.
GGAUGAGCCCGCGGCCUAUCAGCUUGUUGGUGAGGUAGUGGCUCACCAAGGCGACGACGGGUAGCCGGCCUGAGAGGGCGACCGGCCACACUGGGACUGAGACACGGCCCAGACUCCUACGGGAGGCAGCAGUGGGGAAUAUUGCACAAUGGGCGAAAGCCUGAUGCAGCGACGCCGCGUGAGGGAUGACGGCCUUCGGGUUGUAAACCUCUUUCAGCAGGGAAGAAGCGAAAGUGACGGUACCUGCAGAAGAAGCGCCGGCUAACUACGUGCCAGCAGCCGCGGUAAUACGUAGGGCGCAAGCGUUGUCCGGAAUUAUUGGGCGUAAAGAGCUCGUAGGCGGCUUGUCACGUCGGUUGUGAAAGCCCGGGGCUUAACCCCGGGUCUGCAGUCGAUACGGGCAGGCUAGAGUUCGGUAGGGGAGAUCGGAAUUCCUGGUGUAGCGGUGAAAUGCGCAGAUAUCAGGAGGAACACCGGUGGCGAAGGCGGAUCUCUGGGCCGAUACUGACGCUGAGGAGCGAAAGCGUGGGGAGCGAACAGGAUUAGAUACCCUGAUAGUCCACGCCGUAAACGGUGGGCACUAGGUGUGGGCAACAUUCCACGUUGUCCGUGCCGCAGCUAACGCAUUAAGUGCCCCGC